AUGAACCAUCAAGGUCAACAAUUCAAGGCGUUGGUCUUUGAGUUCAUGCCCAAUGGUAACUUGGAUGGUUGGCUUCAUCCAAAAUCACAACAACCAACAAUAAACAACACACUCAGCCUUGUCCAGAGGCUUCACAUUGCUGUCGAUAUUGUGGAUGCAGUAGAAUAUUUGCACAACUACUGUCAGCCAUUGGUAAUACACUGUGAUCUUAAGCCAAGCAACAUUCUUCUCGCUGAAGACCUGAGUGCCCAAGUAAGGGGAUGCAGACUAUAUAUGACUCAACUAUACUUAGAGGUUCCAUAG
Molecule: ribosomal RNA, 303 nt
Filed under: Triticum aestivum (bread wheat)
Lineage: Eukaryota; Viridiplantae; Streptophyta; Magnoliopsida; Poales; Poaceae
Description: partial small subunit ribosomal RNA
Source: RNAcentral